This 28-nucleotide small RNA is filed under the name Bombyx mori (domestic silkworm). Its description in RNAcentral is "ovarian small RNA-36291". The record is from RNAcentral. Lineage: Eukaryota; Metazoa; Arthropoda; Insecta; Lepidoptera; Bombycidae.
UGUUUUUGUAAUAAUGAAUGCAUGCCGC